GACGAACGCUGGCGGCGUGCUUAACACAUGCAAGUCGAACGGAAAGGCCCUGCUUUUGUGGGGUGCUCGAGUGGCGAACGGGUGAGUAACACGUGAGUAACCUGCCCUUGACUUUGGGAUAACUUCAGGAAACUGGGGCUAAUACCGGAUAGGAGCUCCUGCUGCAUGGUGGGGGUUGGAAAGUUUCGGCGGUUGGGGAUGGACUCGCGGCUUAUCAGCUUGUUGGUGGGGGAGUGGCUUACCAAGGCUUUGACGGGUAGCCGGCCUGAGAGGGUGACCGGCCACAUUGGGCCUGAGAUACGGCCCAGACUCCUACGGUAGGCAGCAGUGGGGAAUAUGGCACAAUGGGCGGAAGCCUGAUGCAGCAACGCCGCGUGCGGGAUGACGGCCUUCGGGUUGUAAACCGCUUUCGCCUGUGACGAAGCGUGAGUGACGGUAAUGGGUAAAGAAGCACCGGCUAACUACGUG
This 468-nucleotide ribosomal RNA is filed under the name uncultured bacterium. Its description in RNAcentral is "partial 16S ribosomal RNA". It matches the Rfam family "Bacterial small subunit ribosomal RNA", at positions 28 to 507 of the family's 1533-position model. The record is from RNAcentral.